RNAcentral lists this long non-coding RNA (1023 nucleotides) under Chinchilla lanigera (long-tailed chinchilla). RNAcentral's name for it is "lncRNA (ENSCLAG00000027891.1)". The record is from RNAcentral. Lineage: Eukaryota; Metazoa; Chordata; Mammalia; Rodentia; Chinchillidae.
UCCUCAAAGUGUGGUCUGCCCCUCUGCUUGAUAAAAAUGCAGAAUCUCAGGCUCUCUCCAGUCCCAGUGAAUUAGAAUCUGCAUUUUAGACUCCAUGGCAGGUGAUUCUUAUGCAUGUUAAGUGCCUAGAAGCAGAGCCAAGAUAACGGUGUGCUGCAGGAGAGCAAGAGAUUCCUGGAUCACACGAGCAUGAGUGGAUAAAUGGAACAGACACCCCUUUUCCCGGGUGACGUUCAUACACCCAAAUGGCGUGGGAUGCAACCUGCAUCUCUUGUGUCAGUGUUGAAGGAUUCCCACGGCGAGAUGCUACUCCACUCUGCAUUGUCUAUUCCUAUCUUCUUUUUGCCAGUUAUGUGUCUGCUGGGCCGGGUUGCUUUCAUGUUCUAAAAUAGGAGAUCUAUGCUGCUUGACAUCAGUAUUUCCCCGCGUUUCUCCCUCCACGCUCAGGGCUGGCUAAUGCUUUCCAGAUGAGGUGCGAGCAGCUGCUAAUUGUACCCGGAUCAGUCUUGAUUUGUGUUUCAGUCAGCAAGGCACCUCACUAAUGGGUCUGAAACUUGGCAGCAGGCCUGGGACCAGUGUCAAAGGAAACAGAUCCGAAAAGCAUGCAGAGAAAGGCUUUCCGAGGACUUGGCAGGCAGCACUGAACUCUGACAGCAGCCAGCGAGCAAAAGCUUACAUUCCAAGCCUGACAGGGUUGAGGGGCUCAGACACACCUUGGCUUUAUGAGCUGAGGCCUGAGGCGGCCUCUCCUGGCUUAAGCUCCUGGAGCCAGUUUUCCUGGAAUUGAGUUGGAAAGGGGCCUUGUUAGGGGAAGCUGAGAGCUGAGGCCUAAGGCUUUUCUGAAUUGGACACAUUCACCGUGCUCACUUAAAGAGAAAAAAUCACCUCUGUAAGAAGGAAGAAAUCCACUUGCCAUGAUGAAUUCCAACUUGUUCAGCGGGAAGGAGAACCCACACAUAUAGGAAUAUUUGUGCAGGCAAGUGGAGGGUGAGAGAAACGGAAAUAUGUCCAGUCACCAGUGGA